GAAAGGUUACUUCUGUAUGAUUUUGCUUUAGGUUGUUCGAUUGUGGAAGGCUCCGUUUUCGCUGCUGGUGGGUGUUCUCUGGCGGACGCUGCCUUGGGGUGAGCUUUAUUGCGAUGCCUGGAACCACUGGCUGACAAAAUGUCUGCUGGAGUGGCUGACAGCACGGAGCUGCAUAACUUGCCACCAGUCCUUGCUACCACUAUUGACCGGGAAGAUCUCGGAACCAGAAGUCUGCCACCAGCACCACAUGGGAGGUCAAGAUACUGUGCCUAUAUAUAGCCGAUGGUUGGUUUUCAGCUGUGUAGCGCGGGCGGUAGGUAUGUG
Molecule: long non-coding RNA, 324 nt
Organism: Rhipicephalus sanguineus (brown dog tick)
Lineage: Eukaryota; Metazoa; Arthropoda; Arachnida; Ixodida; Ixodidae
Exons: 3
Source: RefSeq, a predicted model, not a curated record